Molecule: ribosomal RNA, 667 nt
Filed under: uncultured fungus
Lineage: Eukaryota; Fungi
Description: eukaryotic LSU rRNA
Rfam family: 5.8S ribosomal RNA (bases 221-374)
Source: RNAcentral
UAUCGUAUAACGGAGAUGCCCCAGGGCUGUCGCUGACCCUCACAGGUCGUGCACGCCCGAAGGUGCUCUCUCACAUCCGUCUCACCCCUUUGUGCAUCACCGCGUGUGCUUCCCUGUUGGGCUUGUUCCGAGCGGGGGGGUUCACGUUUUUAUACAAACACCAUUUUUUAAAAAGCAUGUAUAGAAUGCCUUACUUUUUGCGAUUAUGCGCAAUCAAUACAACUUUCAACAACGGAUCUCUUGGCUCUCGCAUCGAUGAAGAACGCAGCGAAAUGCGAUACGUAAUGUGAAUUGCAGAAUUCAGUGAAUCAUCGAAUCUUUGAACGCACCUUGCGCCCCUUGGUAUUCCGAGGGGCACACCCGUUUGAGUGUCGUGAAACACCCUCAACCUUCUUGGUUUCUUGACCAGGAAGGCUUGGACUUUGGAGGUUUUCCUUGCUGGCCUUUCUUUGAAGCCAGCUCCUCCUAAAUGAAUUANUGGGGUUCGCUUUGCCGAUCCUUGACGUGAUAAGUAUGCUUCUACGUCUUGGGUUGCCCUGGAACCCGCUUCCAACUGUCUUUGAAUGAAGACAAAUGUUUGAGUUGCAUUGCAACUUAAACCCAGCGACCUUGACCUCAAAUCGGGUGAGACUACCCGCUGAACUUAAGCAUAUCAAUAAGCGGANGA